UACGUAGGGGGCAAGCGUUAUCCGGAUUUACUGGGUGCAAAGGGAGCGUAGACGGCGAUGCAAGUCUGAAGUGAAAGGCGGGGGCCCAACCCCCGGACUGCUUUGGAAACUGUAUAGCUGGAGUGCAGGAGAGGUAAGUGGAAUUCCUAGUGUAGCGGUGAAAUGCGUAGAUAUUAGGAGGAACACCAGUGGCGAAGGCGGCUUACUGGACUGUAACUGACGUUGAGGCUCGAAAGCGUGGGGAGCAAACAGG
RNAcentral lists this ribosomal RNA (253 nucleotides) under uncultured bacterium. Its description in RNAcentral is "partial 16S ribosomal RNA". It matches the Rfam family "Bacterial small subunit ribosomal RNA", at positions 524 to 776 of the family's 1533-position model. The record is from RNAcentral.